CACAUGUGACGUCAUUCAUUAUCAUUUUGUUCAACAUGUGGGGCUAGGCGGAGAUCUAAAACUAGGACACCUCUUUCGCGACAAAUGGCUAAAGGGUAAUAACUAUGAGUGACAAAUUCGGCACUCCCUGCUGUAAGUACACAGGAUUUUUUGAGGUGUUUAUGUGAGAAGAUAUAUUUCGUACUUCUGGAAGUGACAAUGUGUAGAAUGAAGUGAAGGAACAUGAAAUCCAACAACAAUUUCCGCGAGCAGGUGACCUUAGUGACUGGUUGGUUCAAAACUUGGAGUGAGUGUGAGCAAACGGUGGCCCUGUACUCUUUGUUGAAGAAGCUGACACCAUCACAAGCCAAGUUCCUGGUGCAGGUGCUUCAGCAGUCUCUUGCAGAGUGUACAGAGGCAAAGCUGUUGCAGGAGAAGGCCAAUGAUCCAGCUUUCAUCAGCAAAGUGUGUUCUGAAUCCAAGGAGAAAGCUAUCGGCCACUUGCUCAAAUAUCUGCCUCUCUUACAGUCAGGCAAUGCUUCUGCAAAGAAGGAAUACUUACGCAUCAUUCCCGAGGUGCUCUCUCAUGCCAUUGAAAAUGGAGUGAACAUUGAGGAAAGUAGACAGCUCCUCUCCUACUCCCUCAUCCACCCUGCCAUCAGUGGGGAGGAACGCUUACAGUUCCGAAUGUGGCUGGGAUAUCUGGAGGAGAGGUUUACAUACAGCAUCAGUCCAGCAAGGGGGCCAAGUCAGUCCCCACCCUUGGCUGUCACAGACCAGACAGUUACACUGUCCAAUGGACCUAACAGUGGUCAAUGGACCACCUCAACCAAUCAAGACAUUACAAGCAUUGUGAAUGGUUCAGAUAAUGGGGAUAAUGCUAGUAACAAUGGGUAUAUUGGGAACAGUUUGGGCAGUCAUCAGUCAUUACGAAUCAGCAACAGCCAUGUAGGAGUAGUAUCAUCACCAAACAAUGGUCAUACAGCUCUCCAUGCCACUUCCUCUGCACCACCUAACUUCAGCACACCACCAGUUAGUAACCAGGGUAACAACAAUCAACAAAACAACUUGCAUGCACCUCUACGUAGGACAUAUUCAGUCACUCCACCUGUGGGCGUUCCAAACCCAGAGAAAACUGUUACUGAUUGGUUGCGCACCAAUGACAACCACCUGUCUCGGGGCAACUCCAACAACUCUACCUGUGAACAUGCUCCCCUGUCCCCCCAGAGCAGCAUCACCUCCUCGGGAAGUGGCAGUGACACCCACCCCGAUGAUGGAGGCCCCCAGCCUGUGAGAAACAGCUUUUUGGAAGAUGGUAGCGGUAUGAGAGAGGUUCCAGUCUGGCUGAAAAAUCUUCGUCUGCACAAGUACUCCUAUCUAUUUCGACAGAUGACGUAUGAAGAAAUGAUGAAUCUAUCUGAGGAAUGGCUGGAAUCUCAGAAUGUGACAAAAGGUGCCCGUCAUAAGAUCAUCCUGAGCAUUGCCAAGCUGAUAGAGAGGCAGGAUCUGCUUCGGGCACUGGAAAAGGACAUAAUGGAAAAGGGUUCCAUAAAGCAGGCCAUUACAGAGAUGAGGAACAUGUUGAACACACCUAUCAAGGGUCACGUACCUGCUACAGCCGUCUCAUCAGUAGUGUCUCCACCAAUUUCCCCAUCCACUACACCAAGUGACAGUGAUGGCAACAAAAUAGCAGAAGGAGACAUUACUGGCCAGUUUACAAGACUCAUGGGAAAAGUGUGCACCCAGCUGUUGGUGGCAAGCCGUCCUGAUGAUGACUGCUUCACAACGUACCUACAGCUCAUAGACAAGUGUCUCAAUCACGAGGCAUUCACACAGAAGCAGAAGAACCUCCUUGCCACUUGGAAACAACAGGCCCACAAGAUUUGGCAGCCACCUCCCUACAAGUAUGGCACUGACAAACCUAGAAAAGUCUGGGGUAAUACCUUCCCACUUAUUGGAACAUCUUUCAACAAUCGUAUCAACACCAAACAAAUUAGGAUCCCUCCCAAACAUGGCAUACAGCAGUGGAGCUUUGGCUCCAAGCGGUCGGUUGUUGGGGCCCAGCCUACAGGACAUAUACCCCUACAGAAGAACAACUCCCUCAACACUACAUUUCUCAACAAACCUGGGCUGCUAGAGGGGAAGCAGCAGGUGGUCAGAACCAACUCGGCUCCAAUCAGGUCAGGACAACUCUCACUAUCUGUGCCUGUGAAUGAUGAUGGCAGCACCGACACCGAGAUCAACGCCAGACUGGAUUCCCUCUGUAUUAGCAUGACAGAACAUGCUUUAGGAAGCUUAACUGAACACAGUUAUACCUGAUGACAGGACCGUGACUUGUGGAACAUCGUCUGCUGCUGGGGAUACUAAGCUGAGGUCUACUGCUGACAUGUAAUGUCACUCAGUCCUGGAAUGUCCUGCGUUAUAUCCUAAACACUUCCUACAUAGAUGCCAACUCAAGGGCAUGGAGACUUUAGAAGAGAAAUCACCACACACCCCCUCAGAUAUAUGUAGUGAGCAUGGUGUAGUCUGGAAGACUGUGACAUGUAGUCACCAUCAUCAAGACAGAUCUGAAGAUUUCACUGUGCUCAUGGGCAGAUAUGUGAUUGUUAGCCCGGAUAAACUGCUGCCUAAAUGUGUUUGUGUAUAGUGUGCUGUAUGGGAUAUAAGUGCUGGGUAGCUUUCACUGCCAACUCCUGCCAGCAUCUGGCUCCUCCACACAGCUGGCCCACACUGUAGUGCUACUCAUUUCGUCUUUCGUAAGCCUUGGUGUUGAAGGGCUGUCAUGUGACCUGCCAUAUUGUGCCUUCUGGAGCUGUGACAGAUUGUAUGUUGUUUUUGUGGUCCAGAAACUAUUUUCAUGUUUGUAGCACAUCACCUGUGUGGAGCCAUAGUAUAUGUGUCAACGGAUAUUUUCCUAUUUUGUUAUUGUCAAUGGCUAGAGUGGUGCUGAAAUAUUGCUGAGGAUCCCAUCCCUUUCUUCCUUAUAGGAAACAUUUAUCAUGGGAAUCUAAUUGACAAAUUCAAAUGAAUGCCUUUGUGAAUGGAAAUAUGUGUGAUAUAUGUUGUAGAUACCUAUUUAUGUUAAAGCUAAUGGUUCCAUACGGUCCUUCCAAACCAGUGUGAAGAUGUGCAGCAUGUGCGGAGAUGAAUACAGCCAAAACAACUUCAUCACCAGCUAAGUUUCCCACAUUGAAGUUUUCUCUGUACUUGUCACACAAAUGAUAAUCAAAUUGGUACAAUUUGGUUGUGUGCGUGAUGUAACAACAUGAUCCAUGGGCUGACAGUAGGAUGGCUUGGCUCAGGUGGUAUCUCGGGUACAUCUUGUGUCUGUUCGCUGUCCAUCAGUGGCUCAAUAUGUUGGUAUUACAGUGCAUAAGGCAAGCUAAACAGGGCCAAAGUUCUAGCAGAACUUUCAAGAUAUACCAUGUGCAUUCCAUAAUAUAUCCAUACAAAGAUCUGAUUUGACAGACGAGCAUUAUAAGGUUGUCAACAAGGGUGAAAAAGUAUGCGUCUCAUGAGACAUUCAUUACAUAAUAAACACAUAAUAUUGCUUAGAAAAACUUAAAAACUAUGAAAGCCUUAUAUUAACAAUAGUGUUUAGUUUGCAAUGAUGCACAUUAAUUUAUUCCAACAGUGAGUUACGUCAUUUCAUUAAACUUGACUAAUAAAGUACUGGGAUUAUUAUUCAAACAUUCAGUCCAUGUGCAGUGUAUGUGUGUAGUAGGUUUGUGUGUGUACAUGUGAAGUGACUUUACUGGCGUGCUGGUGUGUAUAUGGACUGCAGGCCCAGUGUCAUAGCACCAGGCACCACUCACAACUUCCCUGAGAGAAAAAGUUAUUUAUCCUUUUGAAAGUCUGCUAAGAAUCAUUUAAACAACAUUUGUAUUUUUCUGGUGAUAAGCUAUCCAACUGUGUUGAAGAUGAGGAGUUGAAUGAAAUGUUGUUAGUGCACAGAGCACUCUAUCGACAGUCAUACUGUUGUUGACUUUAUGUAUGUAAUCAUUUAGACCUCUGCUGCCAUCAUGACUGUGUGUUCUCUCAGCCUUGGUUGUAUAUAGCCCAGCUCUUCACCCUUGCUACAACUGCCGCACAUCAUUACAGUUUCUCAAUUAUUGUACCUAGGCCAGACCUUUCUAAUGUUGGGUGAACACAAUUUUGGAGCCAUUAUGCAGGAGCUCCCAAACAUUGGUGAUUGUUGAUAGGUCAAAUGCACAUAAAACUAAGUGUCCAUAACUUAAUAGGACAUUUGUUUGAUUUCUUCAAAAGAGGGAGGAAUUGAUUCGUUGAAAGCCUUAAAAAUUGAUUUAAUUCUUUUGAGGUAGAUUUACUGGCCAUUAGCCAGAGGUUUUGUGAUAAAUUCUCACCUUUUCUAUUGGGGACUGUUCAGGUAAAAGUGGUAUGUACAGCAUGAAACAAGUUGUUGGUUGAUAUGUGUGCACUGUAUACAACAACACUUAGCUACUGGAUGUUUGGGACAUAUCUAUUCUCUGAUGGUGUACACUGUAUUUAAAAUUAAUUUUAAGCAACUGUAAUAUGUAGCAGAUAAAACAGUUAUGACAGCACAUUUUUCUGCCUUGAAGCUUUUGAAUGAAAUGUUCAUAGAGGCUUACAGCUAGGUGUAAUGCUACAACUUAUGUCUUUAUAGAAAGACGGCUCCAUAACAUUAUGUCGAAUGGCAUCAUCUUUGUGAGAGUGUGCAUUAGGGGCUGGACAGUGGUGAUGUUAUAGAUAUGAUCCCACGCCAACCAUCAUGUAUAGUUUGUGUACAUAACACUUGUCAAGUAGCAAAUGUUAAUUGUUUCAAGGAAAGUGUGUGUGGUUUCUAUGUCCUAACCAAGAUGACAGUAUGAUUUUGUUGAUUCCUGCCUGUUAAUGGAGUUUGUCUUGUGUUUAUUGUGCUGGUUCACAAAAUGUAGGUACUAAUAUGGACAUAAUUCCAGGUAGUAAUGUGCUGCUGUGUCCCGGUAGUGAUGUGCUGCUGUGUCCCGGUAGUGAUGUGCUGCUGUGUCCCGGUAGUAAUGUGCUGCUGUGGACAUAAUCCUUGUAGUGAUGUGCUGCUGUGGACAUAAUCCCAGAAGUGAUGUGCUACUGUGUCCAGGUAGUAAUGUGCUGCUGUGUCCCGGUAGUGAUGUGCUGCUGUGUCCUGGUAGUGAUGUGCUGCUGUGUCCCGGUAGUGAUGUGCUGCUGUGGACAUAAUCCUUGUAGUGAUGUGCUGCUGUGGACAUAAUUCCAGUAGUGAUGUGCUGCUGUGUCCCGGUAGUGAUGUGCUGCUGUGUCCCGGUAGUGAUGUGCUGCUGUGUCCCGGUAGUGAUGUGCUGCUGUGUCCCAGUAGUGAUGUGCAGCUGUGUCCCGGUUGUGAUGUGCUGCUGUGUCCAGGUAGCAAUGUGCUGCUGUGUCCCGGUAGUGAUGUGCUGCUGUGUCCCGGUAGUGAUGUGCUGCUGUGGACAUAAUCCUGGUAGUGAUGUGCUGCUGUGUCUCGGUAGUGAUGUGCUGCUGUGUCCCGGUUGUGAUGUGCUGCUGUGUCCCGGUAGUGAUGUGCUGCUGUGUCCCGGUUGUGAUGUGCUGCUGUGUCCCGGUAGUGAUGUGCUGCUGUGUCCCGGUAAUGAUGUGCUGCUGUGGACAUAAUCCCGGUAGUGAUGUGCUGCUGUGUCCCGGUAGUGAUGUGCUGCUGUUGACAUAAUCCCGGUAGUGAUGUGCUGCUGUGGACAUAAUCCUUGUAGUGAUGUGCUACUAUGUCCCAGUAGUGAUGUGCAACUGUGUCCCAAUAGUGAUGUGCUACUAUGUCCCAGUAUUGAUGUGCUGCUGUGGACAUAAUCCCUGUAGUGAUGUGCUGCUAUGUCUCAGUAGUGAUGUGCUGCUGUGGACAUAAUCCCAGUAGUGAUGUGCUGCUGUGGACAUAAUCCUUGUAGUGAUGUGCUGCUGUGGACAUAAUCCCAGAAGGGAUGUGCUGCUGUGGACAUAAUCCCAGUAGUGAUGUGCUGCAGUGGACAUAAUCCCAGUAGUGAUGUGCUACUGUGUCCCAGUAGUAAUGUGCAGCUGUGGACAUAAUCCCAGUAGUGAUGUGCUGCUGUGUCCCAGUAGUGAUGUGCUGCUGUGUCCCAGUAGUGAUGUGCUGCUGUGGACAUAAUCCCAGUAUUGAUGUGCUGCUGUGGACAUGAUCCCAGUAGUGAUAUGCGACUGUGUCAAUGUAGUGAUGUAGUAAUGUGCUGCUGUGGACAUAAUCCCAGUAGUGAUGUGCUACUGUGUACCAGUAGUGAUGUGCAGCUGUGGACAUAAUCCCAGGAGUGAUGUGCUGCUGUGUCCCAGUAGUGAUGUGCUGCUGUUGACAUAAUCCCAGUAUUGAUGUGCUGCUGUGGACAUAAUCCCAGUAGUGAUGUGCUGCUGUGGACAUAAUCCCAGUAGUGAUGUGCUGCUGUGGACAUAAUCCCUGUAGUGAUGUGGUCAUAAUCCCAGUAGUGAUGUGCUGAUGUGGACAUAAUCCCAGUAUUGAUGUGCUGCUGUGGACAUAAUCCCAGUAGUGAUGUGCUGCUGUGGACAUAAUCCCUGUAGUGAUGUGGUCAUAAUCCCAGUAGUGAUGUGCAGCUGUGGACAUAAUCCCAGUACUGAUGAGCGACUGGACAUAAUCACAGUUGUGAUGUGCUGCUGUUGUUAUAAUCCCAGUAGUGAUGUGCUGCUGUGGACAUAAUCCCAGUAGUGAUGUGCUGCUGUGUCCCAGUAGUGAUGUGCUGCUGUGUCCCAGUAGUGAUGUGCUGCUGUGGACAUAAUCCCAGUAUUGAUGUGCUGCUGUGGACAUGAUCCCAGUAGUGAUGUGCUGCUGUGGACAUGAUCCCAGUAGUGAUGUGCUGCUGUGGACAUGAUCCCAGUAGUGAUGUGCUACUGUGUCCCAGUAGUGAUGUGCUGCUGUGUCCCAGUAGUGAUGUGCUGCUGUGGACAUAAUCCCAGUAGUGAUGUGCUGCUGUGGACAUGAUCCCAGUAGUGAUAUGCGACUGUGUCCUAGUAGUGAUAUGCUGCUGUGGCCAUAAUCCCAGUACUGAUGAGCGACUGUGGACAUAAUCUCAGUAUUGAUGUGCUGCUGUGGACAUAAUACCAGUAGUGAUGUGCGACUGUGUCCCAGUACUGAUGAGCGACUGUGGACAUAAUACCAGUAGUGAUGUGCUAAAAUGUCCCAGUAGUGAUGUGCAAUGGGUGCCAGUACUGAUGAGCGACUGGAGACAUAAUACCAGUAGUGAUGUGCUAAUAUGUCCCAGUAGUGAUGUGCGACUGUGUCCCAGUACUGAUGAGGAACUGUGGACAUAAUACCAGUAGUGAUGUGCUACUGCUGAGCAUUUCCUAAUCAUGUAGUCUACAUUGCCUUUCCUACAUCUUAAGAUAAGAUUUUUGUGUAUGUUUUUUUUUAAAACCAGGUCUUAAUAUGAGUGAAUGAAAAUAUGCAAGAAUUUGUGCACAUGCUUUUCUGUUGUGCACAAUAAUGGAGUGUUUAAUCUGCAAGUGAGCACAUUUCAGAAUAUCUUGUCCUACAAGAGUCACUAGCAUCUUUGCAUGCAUUCUGUCAAUUCGUCCAUUUCAGACUUCUCAGACAGAGGCUUGUCAGACUCCAUCGGGAACUGGGACAGUCCUCUUAGAAACUGUUGCAUUACCUAUUAAACUAGUUCAUCCUAUUUUUGUAAGAAAUUGGGCACACACAAUGAGAAUGCUUAGCAUAAUUGCAGUUUAUUCUGUGUCACUGAUUAUUAUGUGUUACUAUUGAACAGUAUAUACUAUCAUGCUUAUGAGAGACAACAGUUAAUGUUUAAACUGCAAAACGCUAGCCAAAGCAAGCUCCAUGUCCUAUGUUUUUGUUCAACUACCAGUACCACUCCUGUCAUAUAUUCCUGUUGUACUACACACCACUCUUUUCUUUCACCGAGUGCUUUGUAUUCAUCAAAAAGGUGACAUCACAAGAACAAAAGCAUGAAAUGUUUAUGGCUGUUAAUCAGUUAGAAUGAAUAAUGAAAUCACAUACUGAUGUUAAGAUGCAAAUACAGCUAUUUUGAAUUUUGAGAGAGCGGCAUGUGGACUCAAAAUUUUGAUGAACUGAUGAAGCCCAUCUUUACCUUUGAAAGCAAACUGGUUUGUGCUAAUGCAAACAUCAUGUAUGUUACAGGUUGAAAAACACUUUGUUGAAGGAAAGGAAGACAAUUUAUGUCAUAGCAGGUUCUCAUGUCUAAGCAUUCAAGAGAUGAUGCCAAGGAUGUCAUUUAAAGUUGGUCUUCAUCUCAAUAUGAAUGAUUAUAAAAAAUUCUAAAUCAAUUCUAAAAUGAUAUAAGUUAAGAACUCACUUGUACUUUGAAGCACUAAAGAAGAAUUGUGUCCAUUUAACAGUGGAAGCUCACUUGAAGCUCCACAACCACCAACAAUCAUCUUUUGAAUUGUUACAUAAUUGUAGCUUUAAAUUGGGCAAACUCGUACAGGAAGCGAAGAUUAUGGAACCUACUGUAACGAAUCAUGAAAAUGUAAAUUUGUUGGUUAAAGUUCAUUCCUAUGUUAUGUGAUGCUUGGUCAUUUGCUUGUUCCUGUUUUCAGUUAUGAAUGAGCUGAUCACAUGGUUUUCAAAAAUAACUAUUACACAUAAAUGGGUCUUUAUGUUUUGAAGAUAGCUGUUAAUGUAUAUUUGUUAAAAGGGAACACUAAAUAUGUCAGUCAAUUCCCUGCCAUGACGUGUGUGCAUUAACAUUAACACUGCAAAGCCAUACCACAUCACUAUGGUCAGUAUCUACACUGGUGCAGUCUCCAUGAUAGUCAUUAUCAGACCCAUUGUUAUAUUGAGAUACAUGUACCUUUAAUUCUUAAAGGAUUUGAAAUGUGAGACCUGCUUCUGGUAUUUUUGUUGAUGUCUUCAAAGGAAGGAAUUGACUUGAUCCACAAAAUGCUGUUAUUACAGUUUGAAAUUGUUAAUUUAAUUUGUUAGAGUUUUAAAAAAAGUUGACUUUUAAAAUGUUGAUCUUCCAUAUAUAAUUUUGAUGUUGAACAAAUGAGCUUACUACCCUUCCUCCUGGGCUCUGUAACAAGCAUCUUGCUUUGUACCAUCAAAUAAAAGGUAGAAACAUUUACAUUAUAAAUAUAUAUACAUAUAUACAUACAUAUACAUACAUAUAUAUAUAUUUUUGUAAGCCAUUCUUUGAUGUAAUGUAACACAAUUGAGAACAACAAAGUUAAUGCCAAUUGUGUGGGAGAUGGUUAUUUGUUGUGGAGCUGGCACUGGUUGUUCCAUCAGUGAGGAAGGAAGUCAGGGUUCACUAGGCACCAUUUGGUUCUCAUUGUAAAAAUGUUUGUAUUGUGUUCACCCUUUUCAGUGGACAAGUUCUUGGUUGUCACUUAACAUGCAAUGAUGUUUGAGGGAUAUUUGGAGAAAUAAAUAUUUUAAUCUC
RNAcentral lists this unclassified non-coding RNA (9386 nucleotides) under Haliotis rufescens (red abalone). Its description in RNAcentral is "protein Smaug homolog 1-like, transcript variant X5". The record is from RNAcentral. Lineage: Eukaryota; Metazoa; Mollusca; Gastropoda; Lepetellida; Haliotidae.